AUGAACGCUGGCGGCGUGCCUAAUACAUGCACGUCGAGCGCACGGACGAGAAGCUUGCUUCUCUGAUGUUAGCGGCGGACGGGUGAGUAACACGUGGAUAACCUACCUAUAAGACUGGGAUAACUUCGGGAAACCGUAGCUAAUACCGGAUAAUAUUUUGAACCGCAUGGUUCAAAAGUGAAAGACGGUCUUGCUGUCACUUAUAGAUGGAUCCGCGCUGCAUUAGCUAGUUGGUAAGGUAACGGCUUACCAAGGCAACGAUGCAUAGCCGACCUGAGAGGGUGAUCGGCCACACUGGAACUGAGACACGGUCCAGACUCCUACGGGAGGCAGCAGUAGGGAAUCUUCCGCAAUGGGCGAAAGCCUGACGGAGCAACGCCGCGUGAGUGAUGAAGGUCUUCGGAUCGUAAAACUCUGUUAUUAGGGAAGAACAUAUGUGUAAGUAACUGUGCACAUCUUGACGGUACCUAAUCAGAAAGCCACGGCUAACUACGUG
This 496-nucleotide ribosomal RNA is filed under the name uncultured bacterium. Its description in RNAcentral is "partial 16S ribosomal RNA". It matches the Rfam family "Bacterial small subunit ribosomal RNA", at positions 29 to 507 of the family's 1533-position model. The record is from RNAcentral.